RNAcentral lists this ribosomal RNA (490 nucleotides) under uncultured bacterium. RNAcentral describes it as "partial 16S ribosomal RNA". It matches the Rfam family "Bacterial small subunit ribosomal RNA", at positions 28 to 507 of the family's 1533-position model. The record is from RNAcentral.
GAUGAACGCUAGCGAUAGGCUUAACACAUGCAAGUCGAGGGGCAGCAUGGUCUUAGCUUGCUAAGGCUGAUGGCGACCGGCGCACGGGUGCGUAACGCGUAUGCAACUUGCCUCACAGAGGGGGAUAACCCGUCGAAAGACGGACUAAUACCGCGUACACUCUAUGUUGGGCAUCCAAUGUAGAGGAAAUGAAAUUCGCUGUGAGAUAGGCAUGCGUCCCAUUAGCUAGUUGGUGAGGUAACGGCUCACCAAGGCGACGAUGGGUAGGGGAACUGAGAGGUUGAACCCCCACACUGGUACUGAGACACGGACCAGACUCCUACGGGAGGCAGCAGUGAGGAAUAUUGGUCAAGGGGCGAGAGCCUGAACCAGCCAAGUCGCGUGAAGGAUGACUGUCUUAUGGAUUGUAAACUUCUUUUAUACGGGAAUAACAAGAGUCACGUGUGGCUCCCUGCAUGUACCGUAUGAAUAAGCAUCGGCUAACUCCGUG